This 500-nucleotide ribosomal RNA is filed under the name uncultured bacterium. RNAcentral describes it as "partial 16S ribosomal RNA". It matches the Rfam family "Bacterial small subunit ribosomal RNA", at positions 30 to 523 of the family's 1533-position model. The record is from RNAcentral.
AUUGAACGCUAGCGGGAUGCCUUAUACAUGCAAGUUGAACGGCAGCGCGGACUUCGGUCUGGCGGCGAGUGGCGAACGGGUGAGUAAUGUAUCGGAACGUGCCCAGUAGCGGGGGAUAACUACUCGAAAGAGUAGCUAAUACCGCAUACGCCCUACGGGGGAAAGGGGGGGAUCGCAAGACCUCUCACUAUUGGAGCGGCCGAUAUCGGAUUAGCUAGUUGGUGAGGUAAAGGCUCACCAAGGCGACGAUCCGUAGCUGGUUUGAGUGGACGACCAGCCACACUGGGACUGAGACACGGCCCAGACUCCUACGGGAGUCAGCAGUGAGGAAUUGUGGACAAUGGGGGCAACCCUGAUCCAGCCAUUCCGCGUGUGCGAUGAAGGCCUUCGGGUUGUAAAGCACUUUUGGCAGGAAAGAAAUCGCACGGAUUAAUACUCUGUGUGGAUGACGGUACCUGCAGAAUAAGCACCGGCUAACUACGUGCCAGCCGCCGCAGUAA